CACUCUCUAUGCUCUCUCUCCCCCGCUGCGGCUCUCUCUGCUGCCGCUGCGGUGAAUCUCCCCUCCGCUGUCAGUCACGGUGCAGUCAGGCAGCCGGUGGCCGGUGGUCGGUGUCUAACCGUCAGAAGUCAGAAUCCCUGUUGAAACAUCGUCUUUUCCUGACCCGUUAACUCGGCUCUAACUCACUCUCCCGGCAGCUGUUCAUCUUCUGGCGGCAAAAUGGGAAAUGAAGCCAGUUAUCCUCUGGAAAUGUGCUCACACUAAACCCUGACGAUCCUGCUGUCUGUUGGUUCCCAGAAACAGCUUAGCCUUUUCUUGCACUGUGUGGUCUGGGAGGU
Seriola dumerili (greater amberjack) is the source of this 338-nucleotide long non-coding RNA. RefSeq lists it as uncharacterized. The transcript has 3 exons. The record is from RefSeq and is a predicted model, not a curated record. Lineage: Eukaryota; Metazoa; Chordata; Actinopteri; Carangiformes; Carangidae.